ACUCCUACGGGAGGCAGCAGUGGGAAUAUUGGACAAUGGGGGAAACCCUGAUCCAGCCAUGCCGCGUGUGUGAAGAAGGCCUUCGGGUUGUAAAGCACUUUAAGCGAGGAGGAAUGGUAUACGGUUAAUACCCGUAUGCAGUGACGUUACUCGCAGAAUAAGCACCGGCUAACUCUGUGCCAGCAGCCGCGGUAAUACAGAGGGUGCAAGCGUUAAUCGGAAUUACUGGGCGUAAAGCGCGCGUAGGCGGUUGUAUAAGUUGGAUGUGAAAUCCCCGAGCUCAACUUGGGAAUUGCAUUCAAAACUGUACGGCUAGAGUGUGGGAGAGGAAGGUAGAAUUCCAGGUGUAGCGGUGAAAUGCGUAGAUAUCUGGAGGAAUACCGAUGGCGAAGGCAGCCUUCUGGCCUAACACUGACGCUGAGGUGCGAAAGCAUGGGGAGCAAACAGGAUUAGAUACCCUGGUAGGUCAGU
Molecule: ribosomal RNA, 471 nt
Filed under: uncultured bacterium
Lineage: Bacteria
Description: bacterial SSU rRNA
Rfam family: Bacterial small subunit ribosomal RNA
Source: RNAcentral